AGCGGCGGACGGGUGAGUAACGCGUGGGUAACCUGCCUCAUACAGGGGGAUAACAGUUGGAAACGGCUGCUAAUACCGCAUAAGCGCACAGUACCGCAUGGUACCGUGUGAAAAACUCCGGUGGUAUGAGAUGGACCCGCGUCUGAUUAGCUAGUUGGUGGGGUAACGGCCUACCAAGGCGACGAUCAGUAGCCGACCUGAGAGGGUGACCGGCCACAUUGGGACUGAGACACGGCCAA
RNAcentral lists this ribosomal RNA (239 nucleotides) under uncultured bacterium. Its description in RNAcentral is "partial 16S ribosomal RNA". It matches the Rfam family "Bacterial small subunit ribosomal RNA", at positions 94 to 333 of the family's 1533-position model. The record is from RNAcentral.